Bubalus bubalis (water buffalo) is the source of this 517-nucleotide long non-coding RNA. RefSeq lists it as uncharacterized. Lineage: Eukaryota; Metazoa; Chordata; Mammalia; Artiodactyla; Bovidae. The transcript is spliced from 3 exons. The record is from RefSeq and is a predicted model, not a curated record.
GGCGGAAUCUGGGUCCAAGCGCCAGCUCCACCACGCACUAGCUGCACGACUCUGGACACGCUACUCACGUCCAGGAGUCAGUUCUCACACCUCUGGGUGGAGGCCCGGAGUCCCACCAAAGGCCGUUUUCAAACUUCAAAAGGUCCAGGAAGGCAGGAAGAGCAGUAGUGAGUGAAAGCUUUCCAGCAACAGAUUCCGAGGCAGCUAAUAAUCAGCGAGGCCCCUACGCCAACCGCACGGCCAACCGCACAGCCGGGCCCUCCGCUCAGCAAAGGCUCCCACUCGCGCGGGGCCGGGCUGGGAGGUCAGCAGCAGACACCAGGGCAGUCGCCCGUCCACCCCUUCCAGCCCCAGUCACCUGGAACGUCCCUGGUUCACUCCUGAGACGCAGCAGGGCUAACAUGUCUAAGCUCCAGGCUCCCGACAACAAGGCAGACGAAACAGUAACUGCUGUGUACAAAGCAACCAGCGGCUAGAGGGGGGACAGGCCUCUCCCCGACCUCACCACGCUCUGAAG